GGAGGGGAUGACUAGUGACAGAGGGAGGGAUGGGGUGACACAGUGACAGAGGGAGGGGAUGACUAGUGACAGAGUUAGGGAGGGAGGGAGUGACUAGUGACAGAGGGAGGGAUGGGGUGACUAGUGACAGUCACCAUCUCCCUCCCUCUGUCACUAGUCACUCUCUCCCUCAUUCUGUCACUAGUCACACCCUCCCUCACUAGUCACCCAUUCCCUCCCUCACUCUGUCACUAGUCACCCAUUCCCUCCCUCACUCUGUCACUAAUCACUCCCUCACUCUGUCACUAGUCACCCUCUCCCUCAC
Molecule: non-coding RNA, 304 nt
Organism: Pelobates cultripes (western spadefoot toad)
Lineage: Eukaryota; Metazoa; Chordata; Amphibia; Anura; Pelobatidae
Source: the annotation of a GenBank genome assembly